GAGAUGAGUGCUUGGUAGUGGACAAUGACUAGGUAAAAGUUUAAAACAAGCAGAGAGAAUGCAACUACUUUAGAGCCACUGAGGCAACAAAGAAUAACCUUAUAUUACAUUUCAUUACUGGACAUGUAUUUCAUUCCUUUGAUUGUGUCAUGGUUUCCUGAUUCUUUGUGUUUCUUGUAGCUUUGCCUUGGUGUCUGUGUUUGAAUAAAAAGUCCCCUUUCCCAGUCUUUACAAACUGGCUUUGGCAGCAUGCUGAAAGACUAGAAGAU
This 269-nucleotide long non-coding RNA is filed under the name Homo sapiens (human). Its description in RNAcentral is "non-protein coding lnc-OR1S1-1:1". The record is from RNAcentral. Lineage: Eukaryota; Metazoa; Chordata; Mammalia; Primates; Hominidae.